GUAAGGAAUAUUGGACAAUGGACGCAAGUCUGAUCCAGCCAUGCCGCGUGAAGGAUUAAGGUCCUCUGGAUUGUAAACUUCUUUUAUAAGGGACGAAAAAAGGCUUUUCUAAGUCGUCUGACGGUACCUUAUGAAUAAGCACCGGCUAACUCCGUGCCAGCAGCCGCGGUAAUACGGAGGGUGCAAGCGUUAUCCGGAUUCACUGGGUUUAAAGGGUGCGUAGGCGGGCAGGUAAGUCAGUGGUGAAAUCCUAGAGCUUAACUCUAGAACUGCCAUUGAUACUAUCUGUCUUGAAUAUUGUGGAGGUAAGCGGAAUAUGUCAUGUAGCGGUGAAAUGCUUAGAUAUGACAUAGAACACCUAUUGCGAAGGCAGCUUACUACGCAUAUAUUGACGCUGAGGCACGAAAGCGUGGGGAUCAAACAGGCUUAGAUACCCUGGUAGUCC
Molecule: ribosomal RNA, 445 nt
Filed under: uncultured bacterium
Lineage: Bacteria
Description: partial 16S ribosomal RNA
Rfam family: Bacterial small subunit ribosomal RNA
Source: RNAcentral